This 253-nucleotide ribosomal RNA is filed under the name uncultured bacterium. RNAcentral describes it as "partial 16S ribosomal RNA". It matches the Rfam family "Bacterial small subunit ribosomal RNA", at positions 524 to 776 of the family's 1533-position model. The record is from RNAcentral.
UACGUAGGGGGCAAGCGUUGUCCGGAAUCAUUGGGCGUAAAGAGCGCGUAGGCGGCCAGGUAAGUCCGGUGUGAAAGUCUCAGGCUCAACCUCGAGACGUCGGUUGAAACCGUACGGCUAGAGUCCGGAAGAGGAGAGUGGAAUUCCCAGUGUAGAGGUGAAAUUCGUAGAUAUUGGGAAGAACACCGGUGGCGAAGGCGGCGACCUGGUCCGAGACUGACGCUGAGGCGCGAAAGCGUGGGGAGCAAACAGG